CAGACACAUCAAAAUCUCCUUUUACUUUGGGUCCUUUCAAAUCCAGGUCAACAUCAGGUAUGGAGAUCUUGGGAGCUUUGAUAUUUAUUUCAGGCAUCUUGAACUUGGGGCCCUUUAGUUUCGCAUCUGGACCUUCGAUAUUCACAUCAGGAACAUCAACGUCCACUUUGGGUCCUGAGACAUCAAUGUCAGCCUUGGGCAGGUUCACAUCCACAUCUGGGCCCUCUCCUUUGAAGCCAGGCAUGCUGAACUUGGGCAUUUUCACCUUGGGCAUCUUCAGGUGCCAGUCUGGGCCUUGAACAUCAACAUCUGGAACAUCAAUGUCCACCUUGGGUCCUGAGACAUCAAGGUCAGCCUUGGGCAGGUUCACAUCCACAUCUGGGCCCUCUCCUUUGAAGCCAGGCAUGCUGAAUUUGGGCAUUUUCACUUUGGGCAUUUUUAGGUGCCAGUCUGGGCCUUGAACCUCCACAUCUGGGACAUCAAUGUCCAUUUUGGCACUUUUAAGUUCAACAUCAGGAACUUUAAUCUCACUUUCAACCUUU
Molecule: long non-coding RNA, 542 nt
Filed under: Homo sapiens (human)
Lineage: Eukaryota; Metazoa; Chordata; Mammalia; Primates; Hominidae
Description: HSALNT0175998
Source: RNAcentral